AUUGUUAGUCAUAUGCUAGAUUGGCUCGACUCGAGUUCAUUUGUGAAUCUUAUGAAAAUUCUUUUUCAGUAUUCAUAUUUGCUUUGGCCAAAAACUUUCUGAACUUAGUCUUGCAAAUUGCAUAGGACUUCUUCUUUUCUACCAAGAUCGAUAAAUUUUAUCUAGGUGCAUUCUACUCCAAACAGCGAAUCUGAACCUACUAAAGCCAACAUACACAGUAAAGAUCUGAAUGGCUAAGGAUCAAGGGAACGUGCAGUCCAAUCCAGUAGCCUCAUUG
RNAcentral lists this long non-coding RNA (277 nucleotides) under Elaeis guineensis (African oil palm). Its description in RNAcentral is "long non-coding RNA (EGUI_LNC032325)". The record is from RNAcentral. Lineage: Eukaryota; Viridiplantae; Streptophyta; Magnoliopsida; Arecales; Arecaceae.